This 253-nucleotide ribosomal RNA is filed under the name uncultured bacterium. RNAcentral's name for it is "partial 16S ribosomal RNA". It matches the Rfam family "Bacterial small subunit ribosomal RNA", at positions 524 to 776 of the family's 1533-position model. The record is from RNAcentral.
GACGUAGGGCGCGAGCGUUGUCCGGAUUUAUUGGGCGUAAAGAGCUCGUAGGCGGCUUGUCGCGUCGACUGUGAAAACCCGCGGCUCAACUGCGGGCUGGCAGUCGAUACGGGCAGGCUAGAGUUCGGUAGGGGAGACUGGAAUUCCGGGUGUAGUGGUGAAAUGCGUAGAGAUCCGGAGGAACCCCAGAGGCGAAGGCGGCGCUCUGGCUCGCAACUGACGCUCAGACACGACAGCAUGGGGAGCGAACGGG